Molecule: ribosomal RNA, 478 nt
Filed under: uncultured bacterium
Lineage: Bacteria
Description: partial 16S ribosomal RNA
Rfam family: Bacterial small subunit ribosomal RNA
Source: RNAcentral
GACGAACGCUGGCGGCGUGCUUAACACAUGCAAGUCGAACGGUAAGGCCCUUCGGGGUACACGAGUGGCGAACGGGUGAGUAACACGUGGGUGAUCUGCCCUGCACUUCGGGAUAAGCCUGGGAAACUGGGUCUAAUACCGGAUAGGACCACUGCCUGCAUGGGUGGUGGUGGAAAGCUUUUGCGGUGUGGGAUGGGCCCGCGGCCUAUCAGCUUGUUGGUGGGGUGAUGGCCUACCAAGGCGACGACGGGUAGCCGGCCUGAGAGGGUGACCGGCCACACUGGGACUGAGAUACGGCCCAGACUCCUACGGGAGGCAGCAGUGGGGAAUAUUGCACAAUGGGCGCAAGCCUGAUGCAGCGACGCCGCGUGGGGGAUGACGGCCCUCGGGUUGUAAACCUCUUUCAGCACCGACGAAGCGCAAGUGACGGUAGGUGCAGAAGAAGGACCGGCCAACUACGUGCCAGCAGCCGCCGUAA